RNAcentral lists this ribosomal RNA (641 nucleotides) under Cortinarius barlowensis. Its description in RNAcentral is "eukaryotic LSU rRNA". It matches the Rfam family "Eukaryotic large subunit ribosomal RNA", at positions 1 to 625 of the family's 3401-position model. Lineage: Eukaryota; Fungi; Basidiomycota; Agaricomycetes; Agaricales; Cortinariaceae. The record is from RNAcentral.
GUGACCUCAAAUCAGGUAGGACUACCCGCUGAACUUAAGCAUAUCAAUAAGCGGAGGAAAAGAAACUAACAAGGAUUCCCCUAGUAACUGCGAGUGAAGCGGGAAAAGCUCAAAUUUAAAAUCUGUCAGUCUUUGGCUGUCCGAGUUGUAAUCUAGAGAAGUGUUAUCUGCGCUGGACCGUGUACAAGUCUCCUGGAAUGGAGCGUCAUAGAGGGUGAGAAUCCCGUCUCUGACACGGACUGCCAGGGCUUUGUGAUGCACUCUCAAAGAGUCGAGUUGUUUGGGAAUGCAGCUCAAAAUGGGUGGUAAAUUCCAUCUAAAGCUAAAUAUUGGCGAGAGACCGAUAGCGAACAAGUACCGUGAGGGAAAGAUGAAAAGAACUUUGGAAAGAGAGUUAAACAGUACGUGAAAUUGCUGAAAGGGAAACGCUUGAAGUCAGUCGCGUUGUCUAGGGAUCAACCUUGCUUUUGCUUGGUGUACUUUCUGGUUAACGGGUCAGCAUCAAUUUUGAUCAUUGGAAAAAGGUUAGGGGAAUGUGGCAUCUUUGGAUGUGUUAUAGCCCUUGAUUGUAUACAAUGGUUGGGAUUGAGGAACUCAGCAUGCCGCAAGGCCGGGUUUUUAACCACGUACGUGCUAGGAUG